AGUGAACGCUGGCGGUAGGCCUAACACAUGCAAGUCGAACGGCAGCACAGAGGAGCUUGCUCCUUGGGUGGCGAGUGGCGGACGGGUGAGGAAUACAUCGGAAUCUACUUUUUCGUGGGGGAUAACGUAGGGAAACUACGCUAAUACCGCAUACGACCUACGGGUGAAAGCAGGGGACCUUCGGGCCUUGCGCGAUUGAAUGAGCCGAUGUCGGAUUAGCUAGUUGGCGGGGUAAAGGCCCACCAAGGCGACGAUCCGUAGCGGGUCUGAGGGGAUGAUCAGCCACACUGGAACAGAGACACGGUCCAGACUCCUACGGGAUGCAGCAGUGGGGAAUAUUGGACAAUGGGCGCAAGCCUGAUCCAGCCAUACCGCGUGGGUGAAGAAGGCCUUCGGGUUGUAAAGCCCUUUUGUUGGGAAAGAAAUCCAGCUGGCUAAUACCCGGUUGGGAUGACGGUACCCAAAGAAUAAGCACCGGCUAACUUCGUGCCAGCAGCCGCCGUAA
RNAcentral lists this ribosomal RNA (505 nucleotides) under uncultured bacterium. RNAcentral's name for it is "partial 16S ribosomal RNA". It matches the Rfam family "Bacterial small subunit ribosomal RNA", at positions 29 to 523 of the family's 1533-position model. The record is from RNAcentral.